CAUAAGCAUAAUCCAGUUGAGAAUACUCCUGUAUACAGUGCAGGUAUCCAUGGAAAAGUAACCAUCCAAUGCCAAACCAUUGUCCAUGUCCAGGAUGAUGGAUCACAAGCGUGGAUGCCACCAGACCAGCCUCCAACAAAAUACCAUAUUGUUGAGAAGAGAGCAACAACACAUACCUGAUAUCCAAGGAGAGAUAAGAAGUCCUUUUUAUUUGUGCUUCUAGAUAUAUGUUCAGUUCUAAGCAUAUGGACACCAAAAAACACCGCACUUAAGAAGUUCAAGAGAUCUCCAAUGCUAGGAGGAGAUCCACUGGAUUCCAGCAUUGCAACUCCUAUGAUGGACAUAAGAGCUCCGAACCAGGUACGGGCAGGAACUACUGCUCCUAACAUACCAUCAAGCAAUGGAACCACAAUUACAGUGAACAUAGAUAUAAAUGAUGCACGCCCAGCAUCCGAUGUCAUCAAUCCAAGUGCCUGCAUUAGGUAUCCUAAACUAACCCAGAAACCCAACUCAAUCCCUGCAUUACGGGUUUUCACAUUGCCUCGUGCUUGCAAUACAAAUGGGAUGAAUGGAAUAGUAGAUACAGCAAAUCGUACAACAGUAAAGGUUGCUGGAUCUAUUAUUGCUUCAACUUCUUUGACAACUGGAAUGUUGCUAGCAUAGACAACAGUGAUGACGUUGAGCAAAAUGAUGCUCCUAACUUUCGUCGAAGUAAACACUAUCCUCCGCCACAAAGAUUUCCUCCCAAACAAGGCCUUAAAACUUAAGGUCCGUUUUUUCUUUUGAGAUCCAUUUGGAUUUCGCUUCCAGAAGACCGAAUUGACCGAAGAGACCUCGUUUUUUGCACCAUUAUCAAAUCCGAUCCAUUUUCUCGACGUCGAAUUACGCAAAUUUAUUGAUUUUGGUAAUGCAGUACCCGAAUUAGAGCUACAAAACGAAGAAGAAGAAGAAGAAG
RNAcentral lists this unclassified non-coding RNA (955 nucleotides) under Hevea brasiliensis (rubber tree). The record is from RNAcentral. Lineage: Eukaryota; Viridiplantae; Streptophyta; Magnoliopsida; Malpighiales; Euphorbiaceae.